GCAGUCCAUUAGGUGAUCGCCCCGGUCCUGUAAAAAGGAACGGAGAGGAAAGUCCGGACAGUAUAGAGCGUGACAGUCGCUAACGGCGACCGGGGGCAACCCUAGGGAAAGUGCCACAGAAACGAAACUACCUGGGAGUUAAAUCCUAGGAAAAGAUGAAACGAGUGAGGUAAGAGCUCACAGCAUGCCAUGGUGACAUGGUGUGAAGGUAAACCCUGUCAACUGCAAGGAGAUCUGCAUAAAGGGCUGCUCGUCCGCAGGUCGAUACCCGCUUGAUCUGGCAGGCAACUGUCAGACUAGAUAGAUGAUCGCCCACGACAGAACCCGGCUUAUCGAUGGACUGCAAAC
Candidatus Saccharibacteria bacterium CG2_30_41_52 is the source of this 348-nucleotide non-coding RNA. NCBI's taxonomy places the organism in Bacteria, Candidatus Saccharimonadota. The record is from Rfam.